This 236-nucleotide ribosomal RNA is filed under the name uncultured bacterium. RNAcentral's name for it is "partial 16S ribosomal RNA". It matches the Rfam family "Bacterial small subunit ribosomal RNA", at positions 524 to 754 of the family's 1533-position model. The record is from RNAcentral.
UACGUAGGGUGCAAGCGUUAAUCGGAAUUACUGGGCGUAAAGCGUGCGCAGGCGGCUAUGCAAGACAGAUGUGAAAUCCCCGGGCUCAACCUGGGAACUGCAUUUGUGACUGCAUAGCUAGAGUACGGUAGAGGGGGGAUGGAAUUCCGCGUGUAGCAGUGAAAAUGCGUAGAUAUGCGGAGGGAACACCCGAUGGCGAAGGCAAUCCCCCUGGACCUGUACUGACGCUCAUGCAC